This is a long non-coding RNA of Cyprinus carpio (common carp), 721 nucleotides long. The record is from Ensembl. Lineage: Eukaryota; Metazoa; Chordata; Actinopteri; Cypriniformes; Cyprinidae.
CUCGCAAUUGCGAGUUUAUUUCUCACAAUUCUGAGAAAAAUGUCAGAAUUAUCAGAUAAAAAGUGGCAAUUACUUUUUUUUUUUUUUUUUUCUUUUUUUUUUUGGUGACGGAAACAGACUUCCAAACAUAUCUCUCAAAACCAGACACCAAAAGCUUUCAGGAAACCUAUAAAGACAAAAGAGCAGAAAUGUUGUGCGGUGGAGUUUGAGCAGAAAUAGUUCAGAGAAACCACCAAAUCCAUCACUGCUGGACGGCCUGUUAACUUACGGGAAUAUUCUGGACCCAGCUGAAUGAGAUGGCAUACGGACAUGUUUGGACAUGAAAACAUUCAGCGUGACUCCAGUUUCAUAAAUACAUGGAGCGUAAUCAAAGAAUGAAAGAGCUGUCAGAUGCGAGUCAAAUCUGGAUGCGAUUCUGAAGGGAGCUUCUGAGAACAGGAUGAAGUUUUCCAGGUCAAGCGUGGCUACGAUCCGAAGAUUUACAGGACAGACGAGCAGAAAUCAGGCUGUCUGAGGAUUCAUGCAUAUGGCAGAGACUUCCUCACUGAAGAAGAACGAAGGAUGCUCUCAUCUGCUGAGAAAAACAACACUAAUCAUAAAAUGCAACUGACCGUAUCGACUUGUUCAGAUGGACAGCAAAAUAAUGCCCUCUUCCUCAAAAACCAUGAACAAACCACACAGUCUUAAAGAAAAUAUGACUACAGAUGACAUGAAGCACGAC